Molecule: ribosomal RNA, 301 nt
Filed under: uncultured bacterium
Lineage: Bacteria
Description: partial 16S ribosomal RNA
Rfam family: Bacterial small subunit ribosomal RNA
Source: RNAcentral
CAGCCGCCGCGGGAAUACGUAGGUGGCAAGCGUUGUCCGGAAUUAUUGGGCGUAAAGCGCGCGCAGGUGGUUUAAUAAGUCUGAUGUGAAAGCCCACGGCUCAACCGUGGAGGGUCAUUGGAAACUGUUAAACUUGAGUGCAGGAGAGAAAAGUGGAAUUCCUAGUGUAGCGGUGAAAUGCGUAGAGAUUAGGAGGAACACCAGUGGCGAAGGCGGCUUUUUGGCCUGUAACUGACACUGAGGCGCGAAAGCGUGGGGAGCAAACAGGAUUAGAUACCCGUGUAGUCCCUGUCUCUUAUAC